Molecule: unclassified non-coding RNA, 212 nt
Filed under: Melitaea cinxia (Glanville fritillary)
Lineage: Eukaryota; Metazoa; Arthropoda; Insecta; Lepidoptera; Nymphalidae
Description: misc RNA ENSMCXG00005004975.1
Source: RNAcentral
AUUAGUCUGUAACCGCAGUGACCAAGCUAGUUUCUAAUUUUUGUAAUCACACUCAAUCGUUGAUUAUUUUCAGGGAGCAGCUACUGCAUCGGGAGCAACUAUUGUAUCAGUAAGUGUAUCUAGUUAAAAAAAUAAAUAUUUUCAAACAACUACUAGAGUCUCUGUAACCGCAGUGCUAGACCAUUUCCUCUGCCUAAGGUUUGCUUGGUAGA